Molecule: ribosomal RNA, 234 nt
Filed under: uncultured bacterium
Lineage: Bacteria
Description: partial 16S ribosomal RNA
Rfam family: Bacterial small subunit ribosomal RNA
Source: RNAcentral
GUUCGGAAUUACUGGGCGUAAAGGGCUCGUAGGCGGCCAACUAAGUCAGACGUGAAAUCCCCAGGCUUAACUUGGGAACUGCGUCUGAUACUGGGAGGCUUGAGUGCGGGAGAGGGAUGUGGAAUUCCAGGUGUAGCGGUGAAAUGCGCAGAUAUCAGGAAGAACACCCGUGGCUAAGGCGGCUCUCUAGUACGGUACUGACGCUGAGACGCGAAAGCGUGGGGAGCGAACAGG